Molecule: ribosomal RNA, 381 nt
Filed under: uncultured bacterium
Lineage: Bacteria
Description: bacterial SSU rRNA
Rfam family: Bacterial small subunit ribosomal RNA
Source: RNAcentral
UACGGAGGGUGCAAGCGUUAUCCGGAUUCACUGGGUUUAAAGGGUGCGUAGGCGGGUAUUUAAGUCAGUGGUGAAAUCCUAGAGCUUAACUCUAGAACUGCCAUUGAUACUAUUUAUCUUGAAUAUUGUGGAGGUAAGCGGAAUAUGUCAUGUAGCGGUGAAAUGCUUAGAUAUGACAUAGAACACCUAUUGCGAAGGCAGCUUACUACGCAUAUAUUGACGCUGAGGCACGAAAGCGUGGGGGAUCAAACAGGAUUAGAUGCCCUGGUAGUCCACGCCCUAAACGAUGGAUACUCGACAUACGCGAUACACUGUGUGUGUCUGAGCGAAAGCAUUAAGUAUCCCACCUGGGAAGUACGACCGCAAGGUUGAAACUCAAAG